RNAcentral lists this ribosomal RNA (512 nucleotides) under uncultured bacterium. RNAcentral describes it as "partial 16S ribosomal RNA". It matches the Rfam family "Bacterial small subunit ribosomal RNA", at positions 28 to 507 of the family's 1533-position model. The record is from RNAcentral.
GAUGAACGCUGGCGGCGUGCCUAAUACAUGCAAGUCGAACGAAACUUCUUUAUCACCGAGUGCUUGCACUCACCGAUAAAGAGUUGAGUGGCGAACGGGUGAGUAACACGUGGGCAACCUGCCCAAAAGAGGGGGAUAACACUUGGAAACAGGUGCUAAUACCGCAUAACCAUAGUUACCGCAUGGUAACUAUGUAAAAGGUGGCUAUACUACCGCUUUUGGAUGGGCCCGCGGCGCAUUAGCUAGUUGGUAGGGUAAAGGCUUACCAAGGCAAUGAUGCGUAGCCGAAUUGAGAGGGUGAUCGGCCACAGUGGGACUGAGACACGGCCCAGACUCCUACGGGAGGCAGCAGUAGGGAAUCUUCCACGAUGGGCGAAAGCCUGAUGGAGCGACGCCGCGUGGGUGAAGAAGGUCUUCGGAUCGUAAAACCCUGUUGUUAGAGAAGAAAGUGCGUGAGAGUAACUGUUCACGUUUCGACGGUAUCUAACCAGAAAGCCACGGCUAACUACGUG